RNAcentral lists this ribosomal RNA (504 nucleotides) under uncultured bacterium. Its description in RNAcentral is "partial 16S ribosomal RNA". It matches the Rfam family "Bacterial small subunit ribosomal RNA", at positions 30 to 523 of the family's 1533-position model. The record is from RNAcentral.
AUUGAACGCUGGCGGCAGGCCUAACACAUGCAAGUCGAACGGUAGCACAGAGAGCUUGCUCUCGGGUGACGAGUGGCGGACGGGUGAGUAAUGUCUGGGAAACUGCCCGAUGGAGGGGGAUAACUACUGGAAACGGUAGCUAAUACCGCAUAACGUCGCAAGACCAAAGUGGGGGACCUUCGGGCCUCACACCAUCGGAUGUGCCCAGAUGGGAUUAGCUAGUAGGUGGGAUAAUGGCUCACCUAGGCGACGAUCCCUAGCUGGUCUGAGAGGAUGACCAGCCACACUGGAACUGAGACACGGUCCAGACUCCUACGGGAGGCAGCAGUGGGGAAUAUUGCACAAUGGGCGCAAGCCUGAUGCAGCCAUGCCGCGUGUAUGAAGAAGGCCUUCGGGUUGUAAAGUACUUUCAGCGGGGAGGAAGGCGGUGAAGUUAAUAGCUUCACCGAUUGACGUUACCCGCAGAAGAAGCACCGGCUAACUCCGUGCCAGCAGCCGCCGUAA